Molecule: ribosomal RNA, 492 nt
Filed under: uncultured bacterium
Lineage: Bacteria
Description: partial 16S ribosomal RNA
Rfam family: Bacterial small subunit ribosomal RNA
Source: RNAcentral
AGUGAACGCUGGCGGUAGGCCUAACACAUGCAAGUCGAACGGCAGCACAGUAAGAGCUUGCUCUUACGGGUGGCGAGUGGCGGACGGGUGAGGAAUACAUCGGAAUCUACUUUUUCGUGGGGGAUAACGUAGGGAAACUUACGCUAAUACCGCAUACGACCUACGGGUGAAAGCAGGGGAUCUUCGGACCUUGCGCGAUUGAAUGAGCCGAUGUCGGAUUAGCUAGUUGGCGGGGUAAAGGCCCACCAAGGCGACGAUCCGUAGCUGGUCUGAGAGGAUGAUCAGACACAUUGGAAGUGAGACACGGUCCAGACUCCUACGGGAGGAAGCAGUGGGGAAUAUUGGACAAUGGGCGUAAGCCUGAUCCAGCCAUACCGCGUGGGUGAAGAAGGCCUUCGGGUUGUAAAGUCAUUUUGUUGGGAAAGAAAAGCAGCAGGUUAAUACCCCGCUGUUCUGACGGUACCCAAAGAAUAAGCACCGGCUAACUUCGUG